ACGGCGAGCGAACCGGGAAUAGCCCAACGUGAGAAUCUGCAGGGUUGACCCCUUGCCGAAUUGUAGUCUAUAGAGGCGAUCUCUGUGUCGGGAUGGCGUCCAAGUCUUCUGGAAAGGAGCGUCAGAGAGGGUGAGAACCCCGUUGGACGCCGUUUCCGCCGCCGCACGAGACGCUUUCGCCGAGUCGGGUUGCUUGGGAAUGCAGCCCAAAGUAGGUGGUAAAUCCCAUCAAAGGCUAAAUACUGACGGGAGACCGAUAGCGAACAAGUACCGUGAGGGAAAGAUGAAAAGAACUUUGAAAAGAGAGUUAAACAGUGCUUGAAAUUGUUGAGAGGGAAGCGAUUUGGUUCAUGGUAAAGGAGUUUUGGGUGGAGAGGUUGUGUUGGUUUAUUCUGACAUGAUUGAAGCCGCUCAGAACACGCCAGCAUGGGUUUUGUGUGUGGUAUUAUAGUUUUUUAGGUUGUUGGUUCACGCCAAGCCUGAGGGUACUCAUCACAUGCAAGACCGAGGUGACAAUGGAUAGUGGAUUUAUUCCAGGGGAGCUUGCUC
This 549-nucleotide ribosomal RNA is filed under the name uncultured Prototheca. RNAcentral's name for it is "eukaryotic LSU rRNA". It matches the Rfam family "Eukaryotic large subunit ribosomal RNA", at positions 86 to 629 of the family's 3401-position model. The record is from RNAcentral. Lineage: Eukaryota; Viridiplantae; Chlorophyta; Trebouxiophyceae; Chlorellales.